RNAcentral lists this unclassified non-coding RNA (216 nucleotides) under Hevea brasiliensis (rubber tree). The record is from RNAcentral. Lineage: Eukaryota; Viridiplantae; Streptophyta; Magnoliopsida; Malpighiales; Euphorbiaceae.
GCUAUAGAAACCUGUUGGAAUUUGGGAAACCAAAAUUUUGUGGCAUGAAUUGUCUGACAUAUAAUUUUUUUGCAAAGAUAGAAUGUUAUAUUUUUGUGACCCAUCAGAUUUUAUUUUGAAACAACCAAUUGCCUAUGCAUCUCUCUGCUAUUAUGAUGUCUUCAUUUCUCAAAAGAAUCUGUUGAUGGAUGUAGAGGGACGGAUAUGAGUAGUCCU